GCUGGGCUUGGUGGUAAAUGCCUGUAAUCCUAGAAACUCUGGAGGCUGAGGCAGGAGGAUUGUAAGUUCAAGGCCCAAAGCAACUUAGUGAGACCCUGUCUCAA
Molecule: small RNA, 104 nt
Filed under: Marmota monax (woodchuck)
Lineage: Eukaryota; Metazoa; Chordata; Mammalia; Rodentia; Sciuridae
Source: RNAcentral